This 337-nucleotide ribosomal RNA is filed under the name uncultured Lactobacillus sp. RNAcentral's name for it is "bacterial SSU rRNA". It matches the Rfam family "Bacterial small subunit ribosomal RNA", at positions 201 to 525 of the family's 1533-position model. The record is from RNAcentral. Lineage: Bacteria; Bacillati; Bacillota; Bacilli; Lactobacillales; Lactobacillaceae.
CGUAAGCUGUCGCUAAAGGGAUGGACCUGCGAUGCAUUAGCUAGUUGGUAAGGGUAACGGGCUUACCAAGGCGAUGAUGCAUAGCCCGAGUUGAGAGACUGAUCGGGCCACAUUGGGACUGAGACACGGGCCCAAACUCCUACGGGAGGCAGCGGUAGGGAAUCUUCCACAAUGGACGAAAGUCUGAUGGAGCAAACGCCGCGUGAGUGAAGAAGGUUUUCGGAUCGUAAAGACUCUGUUGUUGGUGAAGAAGGAUAGAGGUAGUAACUGGCCCUUUAUUUGACGGUAAUCAACCAGAAAGUCACGGGCUAACUACGUGCCAGCAGCCGCGGUAAAU